UAGGCUGACCGUGCUGGGUAAGGAGGCGGUUGGGGCUCCGGAGCGCUCCGAGAGGGCGGGAUGGGCAGAGAGGACCUGAAAAACGUGUUCCCACCCGAGGUCGCUGUGUUUGAGCCAUCAGAAGCAGAGAUCUCCCACACCCAAAAGGCCACACUGGUGUGCCUGGCCACAGGCUUCUACCCCGACCACGUGGAGCUGAGCUGGUGGGUGAACGGGAAGGAGGUGCACAGUGGGGUCAGCACAGACCCACAGCCCCUCAAGGAGCAGCCCGCCCUCAACGACUCCAGAUACUGCCUGAGCAGCCGCCUGAGGGUCUCGGCCACCUUCUGGCAGAACCCCCGCAACCACUUCCGCUGUCAAGUCCAGUUCUACGGGCUCUCGGAGAAUGACGAGUGGACCCAGGAUAGGGCCAAACCCGUCACCCAGAUCGUCAGCGCCGAGGCCUGGGGUAGAGCAGACUGUGGCUUCACCUCCGAGUCUUACCAGCAAGGGGUCCUGUCUGCCACCAUCCUCUAUGAGAUCUUGCUAGGGAAGGCCACCUUGUAUGCCGUGCUGGUCAGUGCCCUCGUGCUGAUGGCCAUGGUCAAGAGAAAGGAUUCCAGAGGCUAGCUCCAAAACCAUCCCGGGUCAUUCUUCAUCCACACCCAGGAUUCUCCUGUACCUGCUCCCAAUCUGUGUUCCUAAAAGUGAUUCUCACUCUGCUUCUCAUCUCCUACUUACAUGAAUACUUCCCUCUUUUUUCUGUUUCCCUGAAGAUUGAGCUCCCAACCCCCAAGUAUGAAAUAGGCUAAACCAAUAAAAAAUGGUGUGUUAGGCCUGGUUGCA
Non-coding RNA from Pan troglodytes (chimpanzee), 825 nucleotides. The record is from the annotation of a RefSeq genome assembly. Lineage: Eukaryota; Metazoa; Chordata; Mammalia; Primates; Hominidae.